AUGCCUUUUGCUGCUCAUACAUCAACUAUGCAGACAGGUAUGCUCAUGGAGUGUCACCUGGACCAGCUGGUUCCACGUGUUCUGUCUCUGACCCUGCUGGUACACCUGUGCCUAGCUGCACCAGGUCUUCCAGGAACACAGAGGGAGGAAUCAGUAGAUGCCCAUCCCCCUUCUGCAGCACUACCCAAUCCCUUUGGCUCUGGAGAGGAGGAACGCAGUUUGAGACAGAGUUACAUUCAAUCAAGCCUGAAGAAUGGAGGUCAAGGAGGACCAGAAAUCACCACCUGGGAACAAGAGGUAUUCUUCCUGUUUGGCCUUUAUGAUUAUGAUCGCAGUGGGUUCUUAGAUGGCUUGGAGAUGAUGAAGCUCCUCUCAGAUUUUUAA
Molecule: long non-coding RNA, 384 nt
Filed under: Oreochromis niloticus (Nile tilapia)
Lineage: Eukaryota; Metazoa; Chordata; Actinopteri; Cichliformes; Cichlidae
Description: lncRNA (ENSONIG00000037915.1)
Source: RNAcentral